This is a small nucleolar RNA of Monodelphis domestica (gray short-tailed opossum), 73 nucleotides long. Ensembl annotates it as small nucleolar RNA, C/D box 1C. Its record names the gene SNORD1C. The record is from Ensembl. Lineage: Eukaryota; Metazoa; Chordata; Mammalia; Didelphimorphia; Didelphidae.
CUGAGCUAAUGAUGAUAGAAAGUUAUCCCUGUCUGAACAUCUUUUGUGUGGAUUUUGAUUUGCUGAGGCUCAG